AGAUGAGGUUUCUUAGGCGCCCAGGAGAUGACUGGGUUGAUAGGCCAGAUCUGGAAGCAUCGUAAGGUGUGGAGGUGACUGGUACUAAUCCGCCGUUGAUCAA
The sequence is a ribosomal RNA, 103 nucleotides long. It matches the Rfam family "Bacterial large subunit ribosomal RNA", at positions 2815 to 2925 of the family's 2925-position model.